RNAcentral lists this long non-coding RNA (119 nucleotides) under Dromaius novaehollandiae (emu). RNAcentral's name for it is "lncRNA (ENSDNVG00000008116.1)". The record is from RNAcentral. Lineage: Eukaryota; Metazoa; Chordata; Aves; Casuariiformes; Dromaiidae.
GUUGAGUACUGUACUAUGCCUUCAACCUGUAUCRUAAUGAUAUUACCAAUAGUCAUGGAAUAUCCCAAACUGAGAGCUGGAAUUUUUGUUGUCUCGUGAGCSAAGACUGCUCUCAUUGC